AUUGAACGCUGGCGGCAGGCCUAACACAUGCAAGUCGAAUGGUAACAGGAAACAGCUUGCUGUUUCGCUGACGAGUGGCGGACGGGUGAGUAAUGUCUGGGAAACUGCCUGAUGGAGGGGGAUAACUACUGGAAACGGUAGCUAAUACCGCAUAACGCCGCAAGACCAAAGAGGGGGACCUUCGGGCCUCUUGCCAUCAGAUGUGCCCAAAUGGGAUUAGCUAGUAGGUGGGGUAACGGCUCACCUAGGCGACGAUCCCUAGCUGGUCUGAGAGGAUGACCAGCCACACUGGAACUGAGACACGGUCCAGACUCCUACGGGAGGCAGCAGUGGGGAAUAUUGCACAAUGGGCGCAAGCCUGAUGCAGCCAUGCCGCGUGUAUGAAGAAGGCCUUCGGGUUGUAAAGUACUUUCAGCGGGGAGGAAGGGAGUAAAGUUAAUACCUUUGCUCAUUGACGUUACCCGCAGAAGAAGCACCGGCUAACUCCGUG
RNAcentral lists this ribosomal RNA (490 nucleotides) under uncultured bacterium. RNAcentral describes it as "partial 16S ribosomal RNA". It matches the Rfam family "Bacterial small subunit ribosomal RNA", at positions 30 to 507 of the family's 1533-position model. The record is from RNAcentral.